GGUAAGAAAGGAGAGGACUACAUGUUGACAGAAUCACAGAACUUCACCAGAAAGCAAGUAGAAGAUCCCCAUUUCAUUUGGCAAGAACGACAUUUCGACGGUAUUCAACUGAUUAACAUUUGUAAAAGGUCCUACAUCACACAUCAAGAUAACUAUGUCACGGAUGAUGGUCGAAAACGGGUGUUGUCCAUUGUGCUCCUGCUUUUGGCGAAGACGAUCAUUGUGUUUGCCUUGCUGUUAGGAUACUUGA
This is a long non-coding RNA of Zea mays, 250 nucleotides long. RefSeq lists it as uncharacterized. The transcript has 3 exons. The record is from RefSeq and is a predicted model, not a curated record. NCBI's taxonomy places the organism in Eukaryota, Viridiplantae, Streptophyta, Magnoliopsida, Poales, Poaceae.